UACGUAGGCAGCGAGCGUUGUUCGGAGUUACUGGGCGUAAAGGGUGUGUAGGCGGUUCUCUAAGUUUGGUGUGAAAUCUCCCGGCUCAACCGGGAGGGUGCGCCGAAAACUGGAGGGCUAGAGUGCGGGAAGGGAGAGUAGAAUUCCUGGUGUAGCGGUGAAAUGCGUAGAUAUCAGGAGGAAUACCGGUGGUGCAGACGGCUCGCUGGACCGCGACUGACGCUGAGACACGAAAGCGUGGGUAGCAAACAGG
RNAcentral lists this ribosomal RNA (253 nucleotides) under uncultured bacterium. RNAcentral describes it as "partial 16S ribosomal RNA". It matches the Rfam family "Bacterial small subunit ribosomal RNA", at positions 524 to 776 of the family's 1533-position model. The record is from RNAcentral.